This 7968-nucleotide long non-coding RNA is filed under the name Brassica napus (rape). RNAcentral describes it as "long non-coding RNA (BNAP_LNC016726)". The record is from RNAcentral. Lineage: Eukaryota; Viridiplantae; Streptophyta; Magnoliopsida; Brassicales; Brassicaceae.
AUUUUAUUGGUUGAAGUAUGUUUGACAGAUAACAAAAAAAUGUUAAAUAGAAAAUAAAAAUAGAGUAAAUAUUACUAUUAGUUAGUCUUUCUGAACACGUCACAAUAAUUGAAUAGACUUGGUCAAUGAAUGGAAGAUUGUGCAUGAACACAAAAACACUUUGAGACGUCAAAGAAUCAAGAUUCGAAACGUCAAUGAAUCGAAUAUUUGACUUGUUAUUUAUUUCUCUUGGUCAAUUUAAAGAAAUGGCAAGUUGUAAAAAGAAAAGAAUCGUGGGUCCUCGUUUUCGAACAUUCCUCUGCAUAAUCUCAUGAGCGUGUUAGCUGACUGCCACGUCUUUUUUUCCUUUUGUAGUUCGGCCACGAAUGAUUACAUACGCGCCGUUAAAGGUCUAGCAUGUGAGAUAAUUGAUCUGACGGCGGAGAAUUUGUGGGGCCAGAGAUCUAGCGAGGUGAGCGAGCUUAUCAGAGACGUCCGUAGCGACUCAAUCCUGCGGCUGAAUCUAUAUCCACCUGCACCGUACGCGCUAAGAGGCGUUAGCCAAAUAGGUUUCGGCGAGCAUUCUGACCCUCAGAUCUUGACGGUGUUGAGAUCCAACGACGUAGAUGGACUUGAGAUUUGUUCACAAGACGGUUUGUGGGUACCAGUCCCAUCUGACCCUACAUGCUUCUACGUAUUGGUCGGUGACUGCCUUCAGGUAAAUCCAUUUAAUCAAAAAACUGUAAAAGAAUAUUUGAUAGUUGUUUUUGUUUUUUAUAAGAAAAUCCUAAACAAAAGAAAUUUAUAUCAUAUUUUUAAGUCCUAACCAAAAGAUAAUUGUAAAAAUUUAUUUGAUAAUAUUUUUAAGAGAGUAUUUGAUGAUGAACAUGAUAUUAAAAGUUCUUUAAUUAACAAAAAAUAUAAAAUUAGUAUUAAUACGAAUUUUAAAACUAUAUAUUAAUAACUAAAAAUAAUUACUUGAUAGCAAUUUUUUUUUUCUGAAAUUCUAAAGAGAAGUAAUCGUUAUAUAUGACAGUAAUUUUCCUUUUCUAAAAUCUUAAACAAAAUUGUAAAAAAGUAUUUAAUUUAUUUUUUAUUUUUUAUUGUAAAUAGAAAGAGAUUUAUAAAAUAAAAUGUUUUCCUUUUUUAAAAAAUCCUAGCAAAAUAAAACUCUAAAUACUUAUUUAAUAAAACAUUAAAUUAGUACAUAAAAAAUGUAUAAUGUUGUCAUUAACUCGAUUUGUGUAUUUGACUUUCAUUUCUUUUUACUUUUCAUUCAAUUUCUUAUUUCAGGUUGUGUUCAGUUUAAACGUUUAGGUAUAGUAUUUUCUCUAAUCCUAUGUACAAAGCUUAUAACAAUUCAUAUAUGCACCAUGAUUAUAAAAUACAAAUAUUAACUUGAACUUAUAUGUGAAAACGAGUUUUAAUUAUAAAAUAAAUCUCAAACAACAUAUGCAAAAAACAAUCAUAAAACUAUAAUAAAAUGAUUUAUUCUUUUAUGAUUUUUAUUAAAUUAAAACAUCAAACAAAACCCGUUGCAACGCAACAGGCUCAUAUCUUGUUUAUAUAAUAAAACAUAGGUAUAGUAGAUUGAAACAGUGGGAGCAAAAGCUGAGAAAAGUGAAACUGAAAAUAAAACUUUCUUUUUCACAUAUUAAUCUAUUUUUACUUUUCUUCAGCGUUAAUGGGCUGAAAACAUUUUCCUUUUGAUUAGAUAAAAAUUUAGAAUAAUUCAGUAGAAAACAAAUUUACUUCAGUAUAUUAUUGAUAGAAGUGCGAUCCAGACUUCCGGGUUAAGCCAUCACUUGAAGAAAUAAAAUUUGAUAUCACGAGGAACAUAUAUGCAUAGUUCAUUUUGUAUUUUUUUUUUUUUUUGGUAACUCUGGUAUCUGGGCAGCCACAUUCCCAAUUAUCCCCCCGUAGGGGUCCAGCGCCCUAACGGAAGGGAUGUUAAAUCCGCUGUGGCUAGGGCUCGAACUCGUGAUGGCGGGCACCUCAGCCGAGGUUCCUAUACCACCAGACCACGAGGCCCGGUUUGCCCUAAUCAUAUUAUCAUGUUACAAUAUUACAAAUCCAUUUAAUAAUAAAAUUUUAUUAAAAUACAAAACCUAAAUCAGGAUUUCUAAUCGAUUAUGGAUUCUAUCAUCGAACUAAUUUAUAUCUUAACCCACUAAGUUUCCUUUACACAGAUUUAACCGGUGUGAUCCAUUUAAUAGAUAAAGGUUGAUGCAAAACUGGUAUCGUUUUUAACGAGUGAAUGUCUAGCACGAGAAGAUAGAAUUAAUGUCGGAUAUCCACAUUGUUGGUAUUUUUUUUGUUGUAUCUUGUCUUAAAACUCUAUGCACCUGUAUGCCUUUUUUGUUUAGGAAUUUUAGUUUUUCUAGAUAAGUAUGUAUUCAUAUAGAGAAAAAAUCGGGUUUUGAAACUGAUAUAAAUACGGGUCUAAGGAUUUAUAAGAUGAUUUAUUCACAUAAUAAUAAAAAAUUCUAAACGGAAAUUUGCCUCAAUUCAUUUUUGAUUUUUUUUUUUGCUUUUUUCAAAGUUGAUUUGCGUUUGUUCUCAACAGGAGGCUAAGAAAUUAUACACAUCAUAUUAAUCGACCUCCCAUCUGAAGUAGUUGAAUGUGACUUCAAUGAACCCACAAUCUAUCCGAACAAUGAAGCUCACGAAAAGGGAUUAACGGAAAAGGUCCAAACAACCGUAAAUACUUAGGCUCGGGGAGUACCGACAAUGCUCAUAUCACACCAUCAAUGAUCGACACGACGUAAAAAAGCCAAUAAUCAUAUGGUAUUCACUUGAAAUUAAGGGAAUCUUGUAACUUUCAUUCUCGAUCCGAUUAAUUUAAUUUUUGAAGUGAACUAAUUACGUGAAUAGUAAAUACCAAGAAUUUUAUGAAUAUAUAAAGUGUGUUUUAUAAUAUAAUUGUAUAUAUGUGUCAAAUUCUUAUUGACAUUGGCGGUCAUAUCAUGUUCUUCUAUUACCCACAUUAAUUUCAUGACACUAUGUCGGACACAUACUGUUGACUAUAUAUGUCUUCUUGUCUCAAAGUAUUUUUAAUAGUAAUAGUAUAAAAUAAGAAUUUAUUCCAUCUUUAAGAAGAGAGAAAAUAGCGUUUCAACGACCAAAAAUAUUCCAACGGCCGUUUGCUCACCCCAUUCCCACGCAUGUGCCAUCCCAUUUGCCUUUUGUAGUUUAUGUCGUCUGUUGUUUUCCAUCUAUAUACAUGCCACAAUUCAAUUAAUUUAGUUACAGUCAUAAGACAACAUUUUCAACUGCAUUGUUCACACAAUCAUAGUUCAUCUUCCAACAUCUUACCCCAAAUUACGGUUUAAGAAACCCAUUUAAUUACUAUUAAUUUCUCAAUGCAUGCUGCAUGCUGCAUGAUGCAUGCAGGUUCUUCUUAGUAUGUAAUAUUAUAGUAUUACAAAGAUAAUCAUUUUAACUCUAAUAUGCUUUAUCACAUCGCAGUAGUCCGAUGGUUUUGUUAAUAGGAGUACUUCAUUACACAUAAUUUACCAAUCCUGAUAUUUAAAAUUUUAUUUCAUAAUUAGAAAACAUUCAAAUUUAAAAGUAGAAAUAUAUUAAUUGGUUGUCUAGGAGAUGGGUGACCAACUGCCCACUUUAAGCUCAGAAUUAAUUUAAGAUAUGCGUAUUUAUACGUUAAACAAAUGUGCAUAAUACUGUUCUAAAAAAUGGUUAGGUUUGAUAACCGAUAUGUAUGUUUCAUUCAUGGGAUAAUGUCGGCUAAUAUGUCAGAUGCCAUGUUCCAUUGAUCCAGCCUGCCUCUGGUCAACUUUUCUACGGCCCAUCCUUCCUUUAUAUUAUUAGUAUAUACAGUAUAAUUUCUUUAAAUUAAUACUUUAUAAAUUAAUAUACAUUAAAAAUCUCUAUAAAAUAAUAUAAUUUUAUAGUCUCAAAUCGAAUUUUUGGUUCGAUUAGUAUAUCGAUAAAUUAAUAUCUUUAUAAAUUAAUAAAAAAAUUAUUGUUUUGUUGUAGUCUCAACAUUAUUAAUUUAUAGAGGUUUCACUGUAUUUAAAUAGUUAAAUGAAAUGAAAUGAUUCGAAAUUAUUCAUUAACGUUUUACCGUGAACCUAAUCAACUAGCAUCAAAAACAGCAUUUUGAAAACGUUGAUUUGUUUAAUAUGUGACAUAAUAGAUUUUUUUUUUGUCAUUGAAAAUUUGAAAUAAACUUCAAAGUUUCCGUUUUCACGGCAUAAGGGUACCAAAAUUUAUAAAGAAAACCACAAGUUGCAACCAAUAGGUGCUGAAAUAAGAAAAACAGAGCUUCUGUAAGCUGUUUCCGAAGAUGAGAACGGCUUAGUGACUGAGGACGCCUUGCUAGGCACACCAACAUGUAUUAGUGCAUUCUGAUCCUCUUUUUAAGCCAAGCAGGCUACGUCGAGUUGAAUGCGCAUAUUAGAUUAAACGACGAAAUUUUAACACAGAGAGUCGACUCUUUAUAAUGUCAUAUAUUUGAUGGAUUGUUUACAUUUUAUUUAUCUAUCGGCUAAAUAUGAUAAUUUUUUCGUUGCAUAUAAAUGAACCAACCAUUUUCUGAAAAAUAUAAAAAUAAUGAAGCAAAUAUCAAAACGUCUUUUAUUAGUAGAUGGUGUCACAAUAGAUAGUAAUAAAUAAUACAGUAAAUGGGUAGGUACAAGGUAUUGUGAUACAGAGUUGGAAUUUUUUUUCUGACAAAUAUGGGAAUGAAAACAGAUUCUUUAGUUAAUCGGACGGCUAAUAGGAGCCGUCAAGGUUGACCAUCUCCACUACGUGCCGACAUAUCGGCCUUACACAUGACCACCCAUUCUCACAGUUCCCACUUUCUUGUGACCCUUUUCCAAGGUCUUUCACCAGAGAAACUCUCCAUUUUGCAAAUUGUAAAAUAUACCAAUAUAUCUUUAUUUAAUACAUGAUUAACUAAAUGAAAAUGAUUUAGAUAAAAAUUAACUUCAUCCAAAAAAUAAAAAAUAAAUUUAAUAUAUAACAUUAAAUUUGAAAUAUAGAAUAAUACUUUUUGAAACAGAAUUUUUUUUUUAAAGGGAUACUCUUUAUGAAACAAAAGGAAUACUAUCAUUUUAAAAAGGUUUAUCUAUCGUGUCGAGUGAUAAAUUUUGAAUCUUAUACAUCAACCAUGACUGAAGGUCUUUUUUAAAACAAAUAUGAUCGAAGGUAUUUGCAAGAUACAUGUGAAUAAAACUAUUGAUUGUUACUAACUUCUGCCUAACUUAUUUACUUCUCGAUAUAAAACAUCUUUGAUCGAGCUACAAAUAUUUAUCGACAAUCUUAAUCACCAACUGCUAAUUUAUACUUUUUUUUGUAAAAUAAUUUAUGCUUUAUUCAUACAGAUAUUUUGUUAUGCAUUUAAUAAGAAAACACUAUUAAAUAUACGCGAGUCUUAUGACUAACAAAACACGUAAUUUUAGGCAAUAAGUGCUCAGUCUUUAGAUUAUUUUAAGAAGUAAACAUCGACAUCUACUAGUUUGCUUUCACCAAAUUCCAAUCUACCCGAAUUUAAUAAUAACAAGUUGUGAAACAAAUAAUACAAAUAAUAAAAAGAGAAAAAUAAUAUAUUUCAAGUUUACCUAACCCGGAAAAAAAAUUAAGCUGAUUAUAUGGUUAAUUUUAUAUAACACCUUCGUACAAAAAAUAAAUCAAUUUUGAGGGAGAUAAAUAAGAAUAAUCUCAUAAAUAGGCAAGCUUUAAUUAUCUUGGCAAUAAUUUGGUUUUUCAACUCGACCGUCCCCAUCGAUGGCAUGCCCACCUUACGCGAUAUGUUGAUGAGGCGAUUACUUUAAUUUCCCCCAGUUGUCAACCGUAUGGAAACAGUAGCAUUAAAAAUUAAAUCCGAAAAAGACUAAUAAAAUUACUUUUAUUAUAUCCAAACUCUACCUUUCAUCUUCCCAUAAAGGCAUACACUAUAUAUAAUACUGUCCUCCUCUCUUGUUCUUUCAUAAUCAAAAUCUCCUGAUCUCAUUCUGUACUAAUACAUUUUAUUUUAAAAGGUUUUCCGUUUGAAAAAUAAAAGAACAUGGUUUUACCUUCUUCAACACCGUUUCCACCCACUGGAAAGAAGGCAAAAGCCUCGCCGGAAUAUAACUUUCCGGUUAUUGAUUUCUCUACACAUGACCGGUCAAAACUAUCGGAGAAGAUUGUUAAAGCAUGCGAGGUUAAUGGAUUUUUUAAGGUGAUAAACCAUGGAGUUAGACCAGAGAUAAUCUCGAGAUUUGAGCAUGAAGGUGAAGAGUUCUUUAAUAAACCAGAAUCUGAGAAGCUACGAGCCGGUCCGGCGAGUCCAUUCGGUUACGGAUGCAAGAACAUCGGGUUCAAUGGAGAUUUGGGUGAGCUUGAGUAUCUUCUUCUCCACGCAAACUCGACGUCUGUCGCUGAUAAAUCUGAAACUAUCUCACAUGAUGAUCCCUUCAAGUUCAGGUGCGUAUUACAAAUCUUGUUUGUUCUUUGUAUUUAUUGGUUGAUUCUUCAAACUACAUUAAAUUAUAAAGCUACAAAGUUUUUUCUUUGAAUAUUUAUUGGUGACUGAACCUAUACCGUACGUAUUGAAAGAUUAGCAUAUAUGAAUUCAUGUGUAGUCGCAUAAAGAUGCCCGAGUAAACUAACAACUAUGAAGCUGCCAGUCUUCGUUGCGUCUACAAAAUUAUUUUUUUUGAUAUUCUAUCUGUUCCUAUUUGUGUGUAUCAAAGUUGACCGAACUGAAAAUUGAUACUAUGGAUUACGUGACAAUGUAACUAUUGACUUGUGAGCUACAUAAAAAGAGAGAGAAAGAGAUGCAAUGUCGGCUAUUGGAUAUAAUGACCAUAAGACACGGCUUUCAAUUAUUAUCAGUCUUUGCUCCUUUAUUGUCAUUAUAGUUGCCCAUAUUAUAUAGUUUAUAUUUAAAUUAAUACAAUUAAAUAGUCAUACCAACCCAAUGCCGGUUCACCUGAUAAUUUGUUGUAAUCAUUACUCUACAACAGUUGGAUUUAGUUCUCGGUUCAUAGUAUAUUGGUAUGUGAUUACAAUUAGGAUAACAGCCAUUUUUUUCAUAAAUCAAGCUAAUUAAAUUAUCAAAAAUGCGAAAGUGCUUUUGCAACCCUGACUGUGACAUGGUUGGUGAAUUAAAAUAUUUUUCUAAUUUUUUAUCUCUAAUUUGGUGGCAUUGUCCACCUUUUUAAUAUAUACUUAAUUCAAUUUUUUGGUUGGAGUCACUUUUAAAUAUCAUUCAUGGAUUUCUUGUUAGUACUCACGUUACAUUAUAUUAAAUAAUGUAUAAGAAUUUUUUUUUUGUCAAUUUUAAAAGAAAUAUAUUUUUAAUUAUAUAUAUUAAUAGAAUGCAUUUUAUUGGUUGAAGUAUGUUUGACAGAUAACAAAAAAAUGUUAAAUAGAAAAUAAAAAUAGAGUAAAUAUUACUAUUAGUUAGUCUUUCUGAACACGUCACAAUAAUUGAAUAGACUUGGUCAAUGAAUGGAAGAUUGUGCAUGAACACAAAAACACUUUGAGACGUCAAAGAAUCAAGAUUCGAAACGUCAAUGAAUCGAAUAUUUGACUUGUUAUUUAUUUCUCUUGGUCAAUUUAAAGAAAUGGCAAGUUGUAAAAAGAAAAGAAUCGUGGGUCCUCGUUUUCGAACAUUCCUCUGCAUAAUCUCAUGAGCGUGUUAGCUGACUGCCACGUCUUUUUUUCCUUUUGUAGUUCGGCCACGAAUGAUUACAUACGCGCCGUUAAAGGUCUAGCAUGUGAGAUAAUUGAUCUGACGGCGGAGAAUUUGUGGGGCCAGAGAUCUAGCGAGGUGAGCGAGCUUAUCAGAGACGUCCGUAGCGACUCAAUCCUGCGGCUGAAUCUAUAUCCACCUGCACCGUACGCGCUAAGAGGCGUUAGCCAAAUAGGUUUCGGCGAGCAUUCUGACCCUCAGAUCUUGACGGUGUUGAGAUCCAACGACGUAGAUGGACUUGAGAUUUGUUCACACGACGGUUUGUGGGUACCAGUCCCAUCUGACCC